RNAcentral lists this ribosomal RNA (373 nucleotides) under uncultured Bacteroidota bacterium. RNAcentral describes it as "bacterial SSU rRNA". It matches the Rfam family "Bacterial small subunit ribosomal RNA", at positions 521 to 896 of the family's 1533-position model. Lineage: Bacteria; Pseudomonadati; Bacteroidota. The record is from RNAcentral.
UAAUACGGAGGGUCCGAGCGUUAUCCGGAAUCAUUGGGUUUAAAGGGUCCGUAGGCGGGCUUCUAAGUCAGUGGUGAAAUCUUACGGCUCAACCGUAAAAUUGCCAUUGAAACUGGAGGUCUUGAAUUAGUGUGAAGUGGUUAGAAUGUGUAGUGUAGCGGUGAAAUGCAUAGAUAUUACACAGAAUACCAAUUGCGAAGGCAGAUCACUAACACUAUAUUGACGCUGAGGGACGAAAGCGUGGGGAGCGAACAGGAUUAGAUACCCUGGUAGUCCACGCCGUAAACGAUGGAUACUAGCUGUUCGAUCUUCGGAUUGAGUGGCUAAGCGAAAGUGAUAAGUAUCCCACCUGGGGAGUACGUUCGCAAGAAUG